GCUAAGGUAGCAUAAUCAUUUGCUUUUUAAUUGAAGGCUGGUAUGAAGGGUUAAACAAUAGAGGUCUGUUUUAUGGUAUUAGUAUAAUUUGUAUUUUAAGUAAAAAUACUUAAAUAUAAUAAAGGGACGAUAAGACCCUAGAAGCUUUAAUUUAUAGCUUAUUAGAAUUAAUAAGCUUAGAAUGUUGGCUGGGGUAGUAGCUGUAUUUUAAUUAUAGUUGGAGAUUAUCUUUAGAGAAAUAAGAUCCUUUAAAUAAGGAGAGUUAGAUUUAGUUACUUUAGGGAUAACAGCGUGAUAGUUUUGGAGAGAUCUUAUUGAUAUAAUUGUUUACGACCUCGAUGUUGAAUUAAGAUUUUUUAUAGUGCAGAAAAUAUGAUGAAAGGUUUGUUCAACCUGUAGUGUCUUACAUGAUCUGAGUUCAAACC
Molecule: ribosomal RNA, 425 nt
Filed under: Stygobromus hayi
Lineage: Eukaryota; Metazoa; Arthropoda; Malacostraca; Amphipoda; Crangonyctidae
Description: partial large subunit ribosomal RNA
Rfam family: Bacterial large subunit ribosomal RNA
Source: RNAcentral